AAAAUGUGCGAGCACUACAACAAGACUGCAAGGGAUCUACCUUCACUGCCACAGAAUCAGAGAGUGUACGUACAAGUUCACCCCCAGUGUAACAAAUGGACCCCAGCAACCGUUACCAAAACGCCAGUAGCGUCUCAACCGAGAUCGUACAGUGUCGAAACUACAAAUGGAGCCCAGUUAGUGAGAAAUCGUCGCUUCAUUCGUCCAGCUCAAGAGACUGUUCCGAUACCUGCCGAGAGUGUAAAGCGUGACCAGAGCACUAGCAGUGAACGACCAAGACGUGUGAUUACAAGACCUAAAAGACUUAUAGAAACAAUUUAAUUAGUUUCAGCAUUUCAGUUAAGGCCUUAAGCUAUUUUCGAUUAGAGGGGAGAUGUUACGUAAUCAGCUUGUGUGGUUCGAUUCAUUCUGUCACCUUUCAGGCAUAGUCAUAAUGUAGAGUGUUUGAUAAUUAGCAUGCAUUGUCCCGCAAGCCCAAAUACAUGCAGAGACGCUUCUGGAACUUUCUAUUAUUUACAUAAGCAUAAAAACUUGUAGGUUUAGCUCGAGAUUUCAUUCAUUGUCAGUGUGUGUGUAAGCAAUAAAACUUUUGCCAUCCGGAGUAGUUAACAUUUACGAUUCUUAAUUGGCUUGAAUUCAAGCUCUUCAUCCUCACUGGACCUUUUCUCAAUAGGAUGCCAGGAUCUGAAAACAAUGUUUCUGAAAUAAGACUCUGCUAAGAGGGUAGGUGCCAAAGAUCUUCAGAGAAAUCGAUUGUGGGAACAGAGGUGCACACCCAUGGCGAACUGUAACACUUCCCCUAAGAUGGCCGCCAAGAUCAAUGUUGGACCGGACAAACGUUGUAAUCAAAGACAAUCAUGGAGGUGUUAACACAAACUGAUCCGUGAACGACGACGCAUUAUCAUUCAAUUUCAAUCGAUACAUCAAUAUGUAUGGACAGAAAAUCGUGGAAAACGCACCGAAAAUGCUUCAAUUUUGCAAAAUUUCUUGGGCAGGGGGGCAUGCUCUAAGACCCCCUAAUUGAAUAAGCCUUACGGCGCCAUUUGCAACUGGACGGUUACUCUGACAGAACCCUAGCUUAAACCUUGAUUCACUGCAUGCCAAAAAUGAAUUUUAUUACAAGAGUAAUGAAUCAAUAAAAUUGAUAUUUCUCUAAGCAUCAAACCAAAAAAGCAAUGCAGCCCCAUUUUAGGCAAUUGCACUUGGAUGUGUCGGAUACUUGGUUAUGUUUCCCACCAGUAUAAUCUUGACAGGGAAGCCAAACGACUGUGUGAAAGUUAAAAUAUAUUUGUUUGAACUUGAAGCUUGUUCCAGGCAUUCAGAUUGUGGUGAGUGUAGGCGGUCCCAUCAUACACUGAAAGCACAGUCAGAGAUCACGUGGUCAGAAGCAUGCUCUCUUCGAAAAUAUGGCGGGUGUUGAAUGUGGUUUCUGGUUUCUUGCAAGAUAAAAAACAUACAAGUAACAGUUUAUUUGCUGAGACUUACAUGGAAAUAAAUCCCAUUUAAGCUUGUGAUGUCAGGGCUGAACAGGACCACAGAAGAGGCUUGAGUUCAAGGUCAACUUUCUCUCUACCAAUGGUGGUGCAGCUGUCAUAAAGUUUCUCACUAGGUGCAAAACAGAGAAGCAAAAAAGAGCUAUGUGCUGGGACCCAAGAGGAGAAAGAGACCUUGGAUCCCCUAGUAGAUACAAAACAGAGAAGAAACAAUAAAAGCUGAGCUGAGACUCCAGAGGAAAGGAUGGAUCUCUUAUUAGGCUGCCAUCUCAAAUGGACAUGAUUUGACAUCAACAUGGAGAAAGAAGCAAUGGAAAGCAACGAAUCGAAGAGUCAAAGAGCCUCGUUUAAAUAUUUCUUCAGUGGAUCACGUUUUAAAAGUAAGGUAGAUUUACGAGACAAAGUUUAUCUCGAUCGAGUUACUUGCGAAAGAUUGUUAGGGCGGAGCUGGAAUUAGUGAUUUCACAACGGAACCCAAGAGUCGAAAGAAGACAUUGGAAUUACUGUGAAAUUGUCUCGUAUCUUGCCAGUUUCCGAGGAAGCCGUGAAUUAUAUUUCAAGUUUGUAGCGUUAAACCGAAGGUAGAAUAAUAACAUUACCUGGUUUUGUUUUUCAACCAGAAUUUUCAUCCUGGAAGUCUCGUUAUUAAACUCGUUGAAAUCACCGUC
Long non-coding RNA from Orbicella faveolata, 2161 nucleotides. RefSeq lists it as uncharacterized. The record is from RefSeq and is a predicted model, not a curated record. NCBI's taxonomy places the organism in Eukaryota, Metazoa, Cnidaria, Anthozoa, Scleractinia, Merulinidae.